This 423-nucleotide ribosomal RNA is filed under the name uncultured Pseudomonadota bacterium. Its description in RNAcentral is "bacterial SSU rRNA". It matches the Rfam family "Bacterial small subunit ribosomal RNA", at positions 60 to 527 of the family's 1533-position model. Lineage: Bacteria; Pseudomonadati; Pseudomonadota. The record is from RNAcentral.
AGUCGAGCGGGCGUAGCAAUACGUCAGCGGCAGACGGGUGAGUAACGCGUGGGAACGUACCUUUUGGUUCGGAACAACACAGGGAAACUUGUGCUAAUACCGGAUAAGCCCUUACGGGGAAAGAUUUAUCGCCGAAAGAUCGGCCCGCGUCUGAUUAGCUAGUUGGUGAGGUAACGGCUCACCAAGGCGACGAUCAGUAGCUGGUCUGAGAGGAUGAUCAGCCACGUUGGGACUGAGACACGGCCCAAACUCCUACGGGAGGCAGCAGUGGGGAAUAUUGGACAAUGGGCGCAAGCCUGAUCCAGCCAUGCCGCGUGAGUGAUGAAGGCCCUAGGGUUGUAAAGCUCUUUUGUGCAGGAAGAUAAUGACGGUACCGCAAGAAUAAGCCCCGGCUAACUUCGUGCCAGCCGCCGCGGUAAUACA